GCUCCGUUGGCGCAACGGAAGCGCGCCACUCUCCUACCCUUAUGGGUAGAAAAGUGGCGGUUGCGGGUUCAAGUCCCGUGCGGAGCU
RNAcentral lists this transfer RNA (87 nucleotides) under Coemansia erecta. RNAcentral's name for it is "tRNA-Arg". It matches the Rfam family "tRNA". From Rfam's summary of the family: Transfer RNA (tRNA) molecules are approximately 80 nucleotides in length. RNAcentral also lists the same sequence under 1 other name. The record is from RNAcentral. Lineage: Eukaryota; Fungi; Kickxellomycota; Kickxellomycetes; Kickxellales; Kickxellaceae.